CGCUGGCUCACACGCGCACACACACGCGCUCACCCUCCUCUUCUCCCUUCCCGAGACGACUGAGGGAGGGGAUUUGUCCUUGGGGUGGGAGCGGGGGAAAGGGAGAGGGGGGAAAGGAGGGAGGGGUAAGUCGCACCACACAAAAACCCAGCAGCGAGGAGAAUGCUAAUCAAAGGGAAGCAGGCGAGGGAAAGAGAGAGGUGGGCUCAAAAAGCCUCGCCGCGAUUGAAGGGAGGAAAUUGCUUGUCGCCGAGAGAAGCCCACGCUGCCGCCCCUCGGCUCCCAGUCAGGCUUUUGUGACGGCCGGGAGCUUGUCUUAAACCACCCUGGAAAUGUUUACUUCAGAUUCAUAUUUUGAGGACAAGCCUAGUAGCAAUAAGUGGCAAGGAAUUUCAUGCAGGGAAGAGAGUGGACUGAUGGAGCAGUGACAGAAGACUCCAGUCCUCCUCUGCACUCAACACUGAAAACAAGCAGAGUGUCAGAAAUAUUGGGUAUCUGAAGAAGUGUGCAUGCAAACAAAAUCUCAUACCAAUAACAAACUUAGUCGGUCUCUAAGGUGCUACUGGAAGGGGAAAAAAUUUCCAACUAUGGCAGACCAACACGGUUACCUACCUGUAACUAGAAAUGGUGGGUUAAUUUCCUGACUUCAUUUGAUUUAGAGGUAAUCCCCACCCCACCACGGAAUGAAUAUUCAAUGUUUUAAUACUCAAAACUCAGCAUAGGAAGGAAAACCUAUCUACAAUUGGCUCACAUACAAAUUGAAUUGCUUCCUUCAGAAAUUUUUACAAAACAUGCUGGAUAAAAACCAAAACUUCAUAUUAGAAUGAAAUAUGAUUCACUAUGGAUAUAUUCAUGAAAUAUGCAUAUGUUGAAAUGCUGUCGUUGGAAAUGCUUGUGUUUAUUCAAAUCAUGUAGCUAUUUCCUACACACUAUUAAUUUCAACUAAAAUAGUAAGAAGUGAAACUUCUGCUUCCACAAGAAAACAUAUUCUGCCUCUCGCUUUCCUCCCCACUCAGUAGAUGGAAAGCAAGUAUUUAAUAGCUUUAGAGAGAGAAAGACGUAAAACCCUGAACAUCAUUUAAAAAAACAAACAACAUUUCACCAUUUUAAAAAUGACAGCUGAUAGAACUGGUAAUACAAAGGCAGACAGUCCUUUGAGACAGUCUCUGUGAAAAGGUGUGGAGAGGUGUUGCAGCAUAAAUUGCUUCAUCCCCACUACCAAAGAGUGUCACCCAAAUCCUUUCUCACAGUAACUGCACUCUCACUAUGACACAUACCAGUCUAGAUGCUACGAUAUGAAUUGUAGCAAAGUAGGUCAGGUUCCAAAAAUGAGGAUUAAAAUGUGGCUUAAGCCAGUGAUCUGAAGUGCAUAAUGUUUCAUUUUAGACAAGAAAAAAGAAAAACACAAACACAUUACUAAAAAAUAAUAAUAAAGGAGAGAAAAAAAUAGACCAAGCAUUGUCCAUGGUCAUCAAGAAUAUUAAACAUUGGUUGGAAAAGAAAAGCAGAAAGUUGGAGGUAUAGGAGUGUGAAUUGGUCUGCUUGAACCUCAAACAUCAUCAUGCCCUUUUAAAGUCGUAUACUGCUUUUCUACAUUAUUGCACUCAAUGUGGUUAACAAUCCAUGGAAAUGACGAAACAGAAAUCGUGCUCCCUGGUGACCCAGGUUUGCAGUGAAACAAAGUCCCCCCUCCACCUAUUUUAGCAGAGCCCCAACUUCAGGACUCCAAAGCACUAAAUCACUUAACGCCCUUGUAAUGUCAGGUGAGGGAUGCGGGUGGCACUGUGGGUUAAACCACAGAGCCUAGGGCUUGCCGAUCAGAAGGUCGGUGGUUUGAAUCCCCGCGACGGAGUGAGCUCCCGUUGCUCGGUCCCUGCUCCUGCCAACCUAGCAGUU
Molecule: long non-coding RNA, 1896 nt
Filed under: Podarcis muralis (Common wall lizard)
Lineage: Eukaryota; Metazoa; Chordata; Lepidosauria; Squamata; Lacertidae
Description: lncRNA (ENSPMRG00000014194.1)
Source: RNAcentral